RNAcentral lists this transfer RNA (57 nucleotides) under Scleropages formosus (Asian bonytongue). It matches the Rfam family "tRNA", at positions 17 to 71 of the family's 71-position model. From Rfam's summary of the family: Transfer RNA (tRNA) molecules are approximately 80 nucleotides in length. Lineage: Eukaryota; Metazoa; Chordata; Actinopteri; Osteoglossiformes; Osteoglossidae. The record is from Rfam by way of RNAcentral.
GGUCAAAGUGCCUGUCUAGUAAACAGGAGAUCCUGGGUUUGAAUCCCAGUGGUGCCU